AUGAAACAUAUUAAAACAUAGGAAUUUCUGUAAUGUAUCAUCCUCUUUAUUAAUAAUAUACACCUCGGAGCUAAUGAUUCAUAAAUAAAAUUCUGUUAUAUAUAUUUUUGUUCAUGUUUAUUAACAAUUUUAUUAGCAUAGUCAGUGUUAUAUCUGUAAUGAUUAUGAAUUCAAUGAAAUUUAUAAUAUCCUAAAAGCUUAUUGCAAUCGAAUAACAAGUUCCUAUUAUUAACAUAUUUUAAGUAGUUUACAACACAAUCAUAUUAUUUAUAAACCUUAGAAAAAAUUACGUAUUUAUGAGCCAAUGGCUUUGAGGUAUUAUAUUAAAUUAUUACAAUGAUAAUGUAUAUAAAUCUCAUUGUUGAUAAUCUAUCAAACAUAAAUUACUGGCGUUUUUAGGUGAUGCUUAAAAAAUAUAUUGCUUAAGCAUUUUAAACGGGUAUAUAUAUUUUCUUUUUGUAAAUUUCAAUAGUGUUAAAAUAUAUCACAUUUAAAUGCCUAAGUUUUACACAACAAUUAUAAUAAUCACAUCACAUUUAUAAAUGUAUCAUUUAUAAUGUAAGCAUUAGGACUGACUUUGUUUAAUGUAAUAUAAGUAUUUAAAUUUUAGCACUUAGAUUAAAUGCUGUUCCAAUAAAUGGUUUAAUUGUUAUUAAUAUAAAACGAUACAUUUUGUAAUAUUUACAUGUGGUAUGAUAUUUAAAACGUUAUGUGUAUAUAUUUAUAUAUUUUUUUUUGUCUAUACCGACACGAGAAUUUUGUAGCAAUUACAUAAUACCGAGUAUUGAAUAAAAAAAUGAACGUGUAACGUAAAAUAAUAAAAUUUUCCAUUUUCUUUUUUGAUAUACAUAUCUAUGUAUAUAUGAGAAUUGUUAUUUAACGUUUACACAACUUAAAAAGUUCAGUAAUAAUAAGUUUUAGUUUUAAUUAAAAUCCAGUUAUACUUCUUUUUGUUUAAAAUUUAAAGGAAAGCAACAUGUGCUGGAAGGCAAAAAAGGUGAAGCUCAAAACAGUUGCAAUUAAAAGAAAGAAAAUCAAUAAUAAGCGUGAAUUGCAUUUAUUUUAUUCUACAAUUACAUCCUUUGAAAAGUUGUUAUUCACAAAGCAAAAUAUUCAAACAUUAGUAAUAAUUGGUCAAAGGAAUAUUACCUUUCUGAAUGCAAUUUCGGAAUUAAUUCAGUUACAAGAAUUAUGGAUUGUUGAAUGUGGAAUUAAGGAUAUACCAGCUUUUAAAGAGAAUUGUUUACUGAGAAAACUUUAUUUAUAUUCCAAUGAACUACCUUCUAUACCAAAUCUAGAAGCUUGUACAAAUUUAACUACUUUAUUCUUGUCAGGAAAUGAUAUAUACGAACUGAAGAAUAUUGAUAAAUUAAUUUUAUUGCAAGAGCUUAAUUUGGCCAAUAACAAAUUAGAAAGAAUAAAUAAAAUUUCUUGGAAGAAGUCUGAAUUACAUUAUUUGAACUUGGCAGGAAAUUAUUUGUGUACUAUGAAGGAUGUACAGAAUCUAUCACGACUUCAAAAACUAAAUUCAUUAGUAUUUGGGGAUCCAUUAUAUGGAGAUUGUCCUUUGGUAACACUUUGCAAUUAUCGUAUAUAUGUUAUCCAUUAUGUUCCACGUAUUAAAAAGCUAGAUCAUUACAAUAUAUGUGAGAAAGAAAGAUAUUGUAUCAAUCAUUUUUUCAAGAGGCAAUUAGCUUAUCAUAAUGUAUUAUUUUAUAAGCAAUUAAAUGCACACUUAAGUUUAUUAAAACAGAAAUAUAAAGAACAUGAGAAAGAAAUGCUUCAUUUCAAAAAUCAACUUUAUACAAAUAAAAUAAAUAAAAAGAUUCAAAAUUAUUCUAAAAAUGAAACAUACGAAGAAUUGCAACAUAUAAUGCUAAAAAUGGAGUCAAAUAAAAAGCAACUUGUACAAAUGAAAGAAAUGGCAAACAUGCAACUUAGAAUUUUGCAGCAGCAGUUACUUACUAAUAUGAAGUACUGUGGAAAUUUAAGUUUUAUUGAAUACAAUGCAUUUCCUGAAAACACAAUUACUCAAUUAUGCAAACGGUUUUUAGAAGAAUCACUGUGUUCAGUUAUAAAAGGUGGCAUAGGCAUAACAGGUUUAAAAUUACAUAAAGUAGUAAAAGUGUGUAAUAAAGAAAUUGAUCAGUUUAGUAAUUGGAAAAAUGAAGAUUUACAGUCAGAUGAAUGCAGUACUAUUUUAAAAAUUUUAAUAUCACCUGGGGUAACAAAUAUCCAAAAAUGGCCUUUUAAUUUCUUUAAGACUGAUUUACUUAUUAAAAAAGAAUUAAUGGUAACUAAUUGUUUGGCAGUGGCAGAUUGUGAUUGGUUGAAUAAAAUAUUUUCAACUAACGAAGAUAAAAAUAUAUUAAAUUUAUAUAAUGUCUGUGAAAAACGACGCGUUUGUAUACUUAUACAGACACCAAUUUUCAGUUCUUCUAUAAAAACAGAUAGUGCUAAUAACUAUUUGCAUAUGAAGUAUGCAAAUUAUUGGAAUGAUUCAAGUGAAAUUUGCCAGGUGUUUAAAUUAACAAAUGCAGAUAUCAGAAAUCCCAUGUUUGUUAUAGAAUAUGAAUACAUAUUGAAUGAAUCAACAAAUGAAGACAAAUAUGAAAGUUCUGUUAUACCACCUACAGUAAAUGAAUUUCUGCAUGUAUGCUUAUCUAAUUUUAAUAUUGCACAAUAUAUUAAUAUUAAUGAAAGAGUGCAGUUACAUAAUCUCAGAAAAAUAUGUAUUUGUGGACAGAAGAUAAAUUCAAUUGAUAUGGAUUUGGAUUUACCUAACUUAAGAGAACUUGAUAUUUCAUUUAAUCAAUUAAUUGAAUUCCCAAAUUCAAGCUUUAUGAAGAACGUGAUAACAUUAAAUAUUAGUUUCAAUAACAUACAAAUCAUACAUGUUAAAGAAAUUUUACCCACAUUGCAGGAAUUGGAUAUAUCAUGGAAUUGUUUAAUACAUUGCUUUCAAAGCAUUCAAGUUUUUACAGCUCUUAUACCCAACAUAUCUAAAUUGAAUAUAUUUAACAAUCCUUUUAAAGACAUUAUUGACCCAGAAGUAGCUGAAUAUUUAAUACACAUAUAUUUGCCAAAGUUACAGUUUAUUAAUGAAAUUAAAUGUGAAGAUCUUGAUUUAUCCACAUAUUAUUUCCCAUGUGCAUUUAAUAUGUGUAAGCUGAGCAACAAACGACGUAAUAAAGUAAUGUUUUUAAAACAAGGUAUAAGAGGACAAGUGAAACUAAAAGAAAAGAAAGCUUUUAAUCGAGCCAAAUAUAUUCACAUAUCAAAAGAUUGCUUUACAGUAUACAAUAUUUUACAAAAUGGAGUGAAUAUUCAAGAGUUUUGUGCUACAUGUUGUUUAUUAAUAACAUUUCCUGUAGUAAAGCCUUUGAAAAAUUUAAUUAAACUUAAUCUUGGGAGUAAUUUUAUUUCUGUAUUGGAUGUCUUCACUCAACAAAAUUUUCCAACAUUAAAAUACCUGGAUUUAACUAAUAAUUUAAUCACAAGCCUAGAAGCAAUGGGAUCAUUUCACACAUUACAAGAGUUUUAUUGUGGGAAUAAUGAAAUAGAAAGCCUCGUGCAAAUAGAUAAUGUUAAAUCAUGGAAAAUGUUAUAUAUUAUAGAUCUUUGCAACAAUCCAAUAAAUGCAGAUACAUUAUAUAAAAAGUUUAUUAUAUUUCACUUGAGCAAUGUUGAAUAUAUUUCUGGAGAAUCUGUACAAAAUAUAGAUAUCUCUGAAGCAAGAUACAUAUUUGGCAACAAAUUAGAUAAAUAUGUGCUAAAUGGAAUAUAUAAACCUGAUCGGCUAAUUAAUAUUACACAAUUGAGUCUGGUUGGUUGUUCUUUAUCAAAGGUGGAUCUUUCUUCUGAAUGUUUACCAUAUUUAGAGAGCUUAGAUCUCAGUAAAAAUCAAAUAACUUAUUUAUGGGGUCUUCAUUCUUUUCAAUAUUUACACACAUUAUGUUUAAGCUACAAUUGUCUUGAAUCAUUUAAUGGAAAUAAUUGUGAGAAAACUAACUGUACAUUUCCAAAAUUAUAUACUUUAUUAUUAGAUCAUAAUUACAUUAAAUCAGUGAUGAAUAUUACAAAGCAAAUAUUACCAGUAAUUAAACAUUUAUUUUUAAACAAUAAUUAUCUUCAAAAUAUUAAUGGUAAUGUCUCAAAUAUUAGAUUAUAUUUUAUUAUUUAGCUUUCAACCAUAAUGUACUUAUCUAAAAUAUUUAGAAGUAACUCAGUGUUCUACUUUGGAAUCUUUAAUUUUGGAUCAUAAUGAAAUUGAAAUGCUAAACAUUGAUCAUUUUAUUGAGAAUGACAAUUUAAAGCUUUUGUCCCUUGAGAAUAACAAGAUAAAAUCCUUAGAAUUUGCAAAACCAUUAACAAAAUUAGAGAAACUUUAUGUUGCUCAUAAUUGUUUAACAAAUGAAGUUGAAAUACGGUAUUUAUUAUUAUUGAAAAAUUUAGAAGAAAUAACAAUUGAAGGAAAUCCUUUAUACAUAGAGAUAAAUAAAGAUAAAAUAAUUAUUCCAAAUUUUGAGAUAAAAGAAAUUGAAGAAAUUUGAAUAAAUAUGAAG
Non-coding RNA from Osmia lignaria (orchard mason bee), 4565 nucleotides. NCBI's taxonomy places the organism in Eukaryota, Metazoa, Arthropoda, Insecta, Hymenoptera, Megachilidae. The record is from RefSeq and is a predicted model, not a curated record.